Molecule: non-coding RNA, 72 nt
Organism: Podarcis lilfordi (Lilford's wall lizard)
Lineage: Eukaryota; Metazoa; Chordata; Lepidosauria; Squamata; Lacertidae
Source: the annotation of a GenBank genome assembly
GGGUCAUAGCUCAGUGGCAGAGCAUCUGCCUAGCAGCUAGAAGGUCUCUGGUUCAAUCCCUGGCAAUCUCCA